CAUGCAAGUCGAACGGUAACAGGUCUUCGGAUGCUGACGAGUGUCGAACGGGUGAGUAAUACAUCGGAACGUGCCUAGUAGUGGGGGAUAACUACUCGAAAGAGUAGCUAAUACCGCACGAGAUCUAAGGAUGAAAGCAGGGGACCUUCGGGCCUUGCGCUACUAGAGCGGCUGAUGGCAGAUUAGGUAGUUGGUGGGAUAAAAGCUUACCAAGCCGACGAUCUGUAGCUGGUCUGAGAGGACGACCAGCCACACUGGAACUGAGACACGGUCCAGACUCCUACGGGAGGCAGCAGUGGGGAAUUUUGGACAAUGGGCGAAAGCCUGAUCCAGCAAUGCCGCGUGUAGGAUGAAGGCCCUCGGGUUGUAAACUACUUUUGUACGGAACGAAAAGACACCUUCUAAUACAGGGUGUCGAUGACGGUACCGUAAGAAUAAGCACCGGCUAACUACGUGCCAGCAGCCGCGGUAAUACGUAGGGUGCAAGCGUUAAUCGGAAUUACUGGGCGUAAAGCGUGCGCAGGCGGUUAUGUAAGACAGAGGUGAAAUCCCCGGGCUCAACCUGGGAACGGCCUUUGUGACUGCAUAGCUAGAGUACGGUAGAGGGGGAUGGAAUUCCGCGUGUAGCAUUGAAAUGCGUACAUAUGCGGAGGAACACCGAUGGCGAAGGCAAUCCCCUGGACCUGUACUGACGCUCAUGCACGAAAGCUUGGGGAGCAUACAGGAUUAGAUACCCUGGUAGUCCACGCCCUAAACGAUGUCAACUGGUUGUUGGGAAUUAACUUUCUCAGUAACGAAGCUAACGCGUGAAGUUGACCGCCUGGGUGAGUACUGACGCAAGGUUGAAACUCAAAGGAAUUGACGGGGACCCGCACAUGCGGUGGA
RNAcentral lists this ribosomal RNA (885 nucleotides) under Comamonas sp. RNAcentral's name for it is "bacterial SSU rRNA". It matches the Rfam family "Bacterial small subunit ribosomal RNA", at positions 54 to 936 of the family's 1533-position model. The record is from RNAcentral. Lineage: Bacteria; Pseudomonadati; Pseudomonadota; Betaproteobacteria; Burkholderiales; Comamonadaceae.